Molecule: long non-coding RNA, 2678 nt
Organism: Ostrinia nubilalis (European corn borer)
Lineage: Eukaryota; Metazoa; Arthropoda; Insecta; Lepidoptera; Crambidae
Exons: 3
Source: RefSeq, a predicted model, not a curated record
UAAUUUAAUUACUAUUAUCUACCUAAAUAAAUAAACUUUAAUAAUAAUAUAUCUAAAUCAACGUAAACUACCUAACUAAAUAACUUAAUUAAAUAAUUUAUAUUGUUCUACACUAAUAAAAUAAAUAAAAUAAUAAAUCUACAAGCAAACCCGCGCGAAACAAGUUGUUCAAUAUUUCUUUUGUUCUCUGUCGAGCGGGCGGGCUGUUUUUUAUGCAUGCGCAAGCGACGCGCCUACGGCCUCGAUGCUCCCGCCGCGUCUCGUAGUCCGAGCCAGAGCGUUAAUGAGCACGGACGUAUCGCUGUCCGUCACCGCCGGACCCGCGAUGUACGUAACCUUAUAAAACUACAAAUAUGUAAUCGCGUAUUGGUGAACCCCGCUACCGGGGUUCACGUUUACCUUCACGCUCAUCUUCUUCACUACAAAAACCUGCCAUGCAUGGUCACCACUGCCGAAACUACCACCUGGGUCUUCAACCCGGCAGAGCUGCCUGCCGUGUCGGACGGCCCGUGCGCACAUUCUAAGUGGCCCUACACCACAGUGCGUACGGCCCUAACCGUCUGGCGCGUCGACGACUCUGCGGGCCUACCAUCAAGAAGAACCAACCCACAUCACCAUCAAUGCUAGCGAGGACAGUGGUUUGAAUAUACUACCCCGGUGACGAAUCUCGUGCGAUAUGAUAGUUAGCUCGUAACCCACACCCUUAAGGUCUCUUACUCUUAAUUGCAAUAAAUGACUUGUUAACCUAAACUAUCUUUUAUUUCUCUAAUAACUCUAAAUUCUAAUUAUGUCAUGGCUCUAAAGCUCCAACCGUGACAUUUUGUUAACCUAAACUAUCUUUUAUUUCUCUAAUAACUCUAAAUUCUAAUUAUGUCAUGGCCCUAAAGCUACCAACCGUGACAUUGGCGCCCAUACCGGUCUAUUCUAUCGCACUUGAGACGUUACCAGUGAGUUUUACUUGUAAUGAAUGGUUAUUUUUGGUGUUGGCAUUCAAAUAACUUAGUUAUAAGAUUGUAACUAAUAUUGUAAUCUCUGUGUGGUAGUACUAAACUUGUAAUUUUUGUGGAGAAUAGCUACACUAUUCUACCUACUAUAAUUUUGUUGAACAUGAAAUGUAUCUACCUACAUUUUAUAAUAUUAACUAAAUUCUACCUACCUUUGGUAAUAUUAUUUAAAUUUUAAUCACUACCUACCACACAUAGAUUUUGUUUAACUAAAUUGUAAUACUUACUGUCUUAUUGUGUAAAUUGCAACACACACCCGCGUGCCUACCUAGUAUUUUUUUAUAUUACGUACUCGGUAAUUCUAAUCUAAAAUAUAUAUUUAACUUGUAACUGAAAACGUUACUUCUAAAUAAACUAUUAAAUUAAAUAAUAAAUUGUAAAUACUACUAAAAAUAAACAAUUUAUUAUACCUACUCGUAUCUUACCUACUGGUAUCUCUUAAACCUAUAAUUGAAAAUCUACCUUAAUUAAAAAGUCUAAAACUAUUUUUAACUGUCUUGUCUGACGCACCAUCUAAAAUGGAUUGCAAGGUACACUCUACUUAGUACCUCUUUGCAUUGCUUAGGACUUAAGAUAGGAAGUUGUUGGGUGCAGCAGUUGCUAAACAACUGCGCAUACUUGUAAUUAGCUGUAGUCUACCCUACAGAUAAUAUUCCGACCUCUUCAUUAAAUAAUGGUUAUCUUAUGACUUUCUCUAAAUCUUAACUUAAUGAAUCUUGUGAGUAUUAUGAGAUCUACUAAAAAUCAUAUACUCUGUACGUCAGGUUGCAAGUAAACAGACCUAAAAUGUUUAUUUUGUUAGUCAGACUCAAGAUUAGCUAGUACAGUUGAGAUAGCGGAUUUUCCUUAGGUAAAAUCCUACCGUAAAAAGGGGGAUAUGUAACGGUUAGCGUUACCGCUGACCGUUAUCUUAGAUCUAAAUUCUAAUUUAAUUACUAUUAUCUACCUAAAUAAAUAAACUUUAAUAAUAAUAUAUCUAAAUCAACGUAAACUACCUAACUAAAUAACUUAAUUAAAUAAUUUAUAUUGUUCUACACUAAUAAAAUAAAUAAAAUAAUAAAUCUACAAGCAAACCCGCGCGAAACAAGUUGUUCAAUAUUUCUUUUGUUCUCUGUCGAGCGGGCGGGCUGUUUUUUAUGCAUGCGCAAGCGACGCGCCUACGGCCUCGAUGCUCCCGCCGCGUCUCGUAGUCCGAGCCAGAGCGUUAAUGAGCACGGACGUAUCGCUGUCCGUCACCGCCGGACCCGCGAUGUACGUAACCUUAUAAAACUACAAAUAUGUAAUCGCGUAUUGGUGAACCCCGCUACCGGGGUUCACGUUUACCUUCACGCUCAUCUUCUUCACUACAAAAACCUGCCAUGCAUGGUCACCACUGCCGAAACUACCACCUGGGUCUUCAACCCGGCAGAGCUGCCUGCCGUGUCGGACGGCCCGUGCGCACAUUCUAAGUGGCCCUACACCACAGUGCGUACGGCCCUAACCGUCUGGCGCGUCGACGACUCUGCGGGCCUACCAUCAAGAAGAACCAACCCACAUCACCAUCAAUGCUAGCGAGGACAGUGGUUUGAAUAUACUACCCCGGUGACGAAUCUCGUGCGAUAUGAUAGUUAGCUCGUAACCCACACCCUUAAGGUCUCUUACUCUUAAUUGCAAUAAAUGACUUGUUAACCUAAA